UACAGAGGGUGCAAGCGUUGUUCGGAAUUAUUGGGCGUAAAGCGCGUGUAGGCGGCCGUGCAAGUCGGGUGUGAAAGCCCUCGGCUCAACCGAGGAAGUGCGCCCCGAAACUGCAUGGCUUGAGUACCGGAGAGGAUGGCGGAAUUCCCCAAGUAGAGGUGAAAUUCGUAGAUAUGGGGAGGAACACCGGUGGCGAAGGCGGCCUGCUGGGCAGUUUGCUGACACUGAGGCGCGACAGCGUGGGGAGCAA
This 250-nucleotide ribosomal RNA is filed under the name uncultured bacterium. RNAcentral's name for it is "partial 16S ribosomal RNA". It matches the Rfam family "Bacterial small subunit ribosomal RNA", at positions 524 to 771 of the family's 1533-position model. The record is from RNAcentral.